UCCAAUUAUUCAAAAAGUAAAGAUAAAACAAAAUAAAAUAAAAUAAAAGAUGUGACUGAGUCCUUGUUUUGGACCGCCUACAUAUACCGGGUUAUAAGGGAAUUAGGUCACUUAUAGUUCAAAUGUUAAAUGGUGAGAGAACGAGUUAGAGAUCGAGUGAGGUUUCAUCAAGUUUUUGGUUGACGACUUCUCCUUUUACAUUUAUAUGAAUAACAAAAAUAAAAUUGAAGAUACAAAUGAAAGAUUCUAUCUAUUCAGCUAUUCUGGAAUCUUGACUUGAAUCUUCAUGACUUAUCAAAUUGUGAGAUAGUCGUUAUUCUUAAUUGAACUUGGACCAUAAAAAGCCCCUCGUCGUUGGCUCUUGAUAUUAGAGGGGAACUUGACAAUUGGUUUAUUCUUUAGAUUUUCUUCUGGCUUGGACUUAAAAAUCUUCACCCUAUUCUUCAGGUAGGCUCCUGAACUUGCAACUGAUAAUGUUCACCCUAUUCUUCAGGCGGGCUCCUGGACUUCCUUUUUUUUUCACUCAGUUCUUCAGGUGGGCUCCUGACUUGUUGCUUCUUCACCCUGUUCUUCAGGCGGGCUCCUGACUUGUUACAUCUUCACCCUGUUCUUCAGGUGGGCUCCUGAACUUAUAAUUUUUUAUUUUCAAAUAUGUUCCUGAACUCAAAAUAAAAGGUGAAACAGAAAAAUAACAUCCCAUUUUUCAGGAGGAUCCUGGACAUAAAAUAAAUUCCCAUUCUUCAGGAGGGUCCUGUGCAAAAAUAAAUUUCCAUUCUUCAGAAGGGUCUUGUCCCAUUCUUCAGG
This 804-nucleotide long non-coding RNA is filed under the name Capsicum annuum. Its description in RNAcentral is "long non-coding RNA (CANN_LNC003645)". Lineage: Eukaryota; Viridiplantae; Streptophyta; Magnoliopsida; Solanales; Solanaceae. The record is from RNAcentral.